ACAACCCACCCCUUGUUAACUUG
RNAcentral lists this unclassified non-coding RNA (23 nucleotides) under Mus musculus (house mouse). RNAcentral's name for it is "oocyte_clustered_small_RNA5154". The record is from RNAcentral. Lineage: Eukaryota; Metazoa; Chordata; Mammalia; Rodentia; Muridae.